Lupinus angustifolius (narrow-leaved blue lupine) is the source of this 119-nucleotide ribosomal RNA. The record is from Rfam. Lineage: Eukaryota; Viridiplantae; Streptophyta; Magnoliopsida; Fabales; Fabaceae.
AGGUGCGAUCAUACCAGCACUAAUGCACCGGAUCCCUUCAAAAUUCCGCAUUUAAGCGUGCUUAGGCGAGAGUAGUACUAGGAUGGGUGACCACCUGGGAAGUCCUUGUGUUACACCUC